CACAAUGAAUAAUACCACUUGGAAACCACAAGUCAACAUAAUAAGUUUAUUGCAUGAGAUUAUCUACAUGAUGUCAUUUCAUAUGUCUCUCUAUCGUGCAUUGCACAAAUGAAACUACUAAGUAGUAGACAUGCAUACAUACAUAAACUAAAAAUACACAACCAUCACCUAUAUGCAUAUACCAAUAGUCCAACACUAGACCCUUUUUUAUGAACACACAUUUGUUUUCUCGAUU
This 235-nucleotide long non-coding RNA is filed under the name Solanum tuberosum (potato). RNAcentral describes it as "long non-coding RNA (STUB_LNC004883)". Lineage: Eukaryota; Viridiplantae; Streptophyta; Magnoliopsida; Solanales; Solanaceae. The record is from RNAcentral.